CAAUUUGGGCUCAUGACCUUGGUAAGGGGGCUCUCCUAAAAAGAAAAGGUUGAAGUUCAAUUGCCAAUUCUCCUUUCUCUCUCUAAAACCCCCUUUUCCCAAAUUCGUUUCUGCCUUCUCUCUAGCCUCCACACUGAUUUAGCCAUUGCAUGUUCUGUUAGGUGGUACCCUAGCGACCGUCUCGUAGAAAGCUUCAAAACCAUCCGAUUGAUUUUACGUUCUUCAACCGGGCACUGCUUAAGUUCUUCCCGGAGUAGGAUACUGUUGAAAGUUGUGUUGUGUGCUAGACUGCUCAACUUUAAGUAGGUGAUGAUGUACCUUUGGAGCAAGCUUUGGAAGUUGAGGAAGACCCAGCCCCUAGUGCU
This is a long non-coding RNA of Vigna angularis (adzuki bean), 365 nucleotides long. RefSeq lists it as uncharacterized. NCBI's taxonomy places the organism in Eukaryota, Viridiplantae, Streptophyta, Magnoliopsida, Fabales, Fabaceae. The record is from RefSeq and is a predicted model, not a curated record. The transcript is spliced from 3 exons.